UCAUGGAUGAGAAUCAGUGCAACAGGAUGCUAAAAUACAACAUUAUGAAUAACAUUGUUAAUUAAAAUAAGAGUCUGUGGUCAUUUGUGGGGAAGGCAGGUUCUAAUCAGAGAUUUCGAAGUAUGAGUUUUCAUUUUGCUGAAUUCUCCGACAGAACAUCUUAUUCUCUGUAGGUGUGGAAGUCGUGGAAUCUGUUUGUGACUGUGUUUGGAACAAAGUGCUGAGGAGAAAUGUUAGGACUUAAGAUAGAUGAAGGAGGAAACUGGAGAAAUAGUUCAUAAUGAGGAAUUUCACAAUCUGGACUCUUCUCCUUAUAUUCUGAGUGCAAUAAAAUCAGAAAGUGAAUACUUUGAGGGAAGAGAUACAUUGUGAGAUGGCGUGAAUAACAAUAUAUGGUAACUCAACUAUUUAGACACAUUGUUCCCUGUCGAGCAUCAGGUUCAAUCACAGGUGACUUCAUGUGAGAUUUGUGGUGUACUGAGUGGUGUUGGCGUAGGUUUCCCCCCCAAGUUCCUUCAGUUUUCCCUACCAGUGCUUGCAUACUCAUCUGUCAGUGCAACUUUUAAGUGUAAUAGUUCUGACAAAGCAGUCUGUUGGUUGUCACAUCUGCAGUCUUUAAGUCUGGGGCUUCAUCUCUGAUCAUAUUCUUAGCUGGUUACAGAGUAAAGGAAUUGUUCUUAUAAUAUCUUAUUGAAAUAGAUGUGAACAGAACAGAGAUGGUUCAUAUUUAUGUUAAAUGACAUGCUUUCUUAUUAAUGUGCAAUGAGCCCCAAGGCUAUACCCAGACUCCAUGAUUGGGGCUCUGGCGUGUCUCAUCCUUACAAACCCUUAAAGAAGGGACCUGCAGAACUUGUUUUAGUUUUCACGCUACUUAAGACUGCAAUAAAAUCAUAAUAAACAUCUUUCUGGAGUUCAUAUACCUGCCCCCUGAACACCUUUUGUUUACAGAAAAUAUUUUAUUCCUUCCCAAAUCCCAAUGCUAAGGCUCCAAUGCAAGUUAUUGUUCAAAUUUAAAGCUUUUGUAGGAACUGGAGUGAGGCUGCCUGAUCACGUUCAGAAGGAGUAGCAAUGGGAUUAGUCUCUUACUGUUUAUCAGGGGAUGCAUGGGCCCUAAUUGCUUUGUCACUAUCUCUCUGGAAAGUAUGAGUUUAGAGGAAGAAGUGGGCUAUGUAUAAUUUAUGUAUAAGGGGUGGGCCUUCUCGGCCCUUGCACCGCGACCUACAGUGGUCUGUUGUGCUUAAGAAGUGGGAUAUGUCAGUAGGGUUGGUACAUGAGGCUUCCAAACUUCGUACCUCCCACUUAGAGACCAAAGUACCAAUCUGUGGAGAUGAGUGAUUGUUAUUCACUUAGGCCUUCUAAACCAAUCGAUGUUUGUGCUUUUUCUUGUGGAAUUCAGUGAAAGGGGGCAGUGGACAUCUGAUACCACAGAUCACCACUGGCCUCAGACUUACAGAUAACUUUUUAACAAGUCUGAUGCAGACGCCCUCACACUCUGAAAUCCAUUGGAAAUUCAAGAUAAACAGUACACAGUGAAUCGAACUUUUGCGAAACUAAUAUUAGUAAGUGAAUAAAGUGCUUGGAUGUAUUACAUUGCUAAUGGCUCUAAGAUGCAAGUGUUGUGUUCUGAGAUUUUGUGUGUUUAAACACUGUAAAUUUAAUUAAGUACAUUAAUACAAAUCUCAAGUCAUUCUUGGAAA
This is a long non-coding RNA of Cryptotermes secundus, 1697 nucleotides long. RefSeq lists it as uncharacterized. NCBI's taxonomy places the organism in Eukaryota, Metazoa, Arthropoda, Insecta, Blattodea, Kalotermitidae. The transcript is spliced from 2 exons. The record is from RefSeq and is a predicted model, not a curated record.